Molecule: ribosomal RNA, 379 nt
Filed under: Salmonella enterica subsp. enterica serovar Bredeney
Lineage: Bacteria; Pseudomonadati; Pseudomonadota; Gammaproteobacteria; Enterobacterales; Enterobacteriaceae
Also listed under: 1 other name
Description: bacterial SSU rRNA
Rfam family: Bacterial small subunit ribosomal RNA
Source: RNAcentral
GGAGGAAGGUGGGGAUGACGUCAAGUCAUCAUGGCCCUUACGACCAGGGCUACACACGUGCUACAAUGGCGCAUACAAAGAGAAGCGACCUCGCGAGAGCAAGCGGACCUCAUAAAGUGCGUCGUAGUCCGGAUUGGAGUCUGCAACUCGACUCCAUGAAGUCGGAAUCGCUAGUAAUCGUGGAUCAGAAUGCCACGGUGAAUACGUUCCCGGGCCUUGUACACACCGCCCGUCACACCAUGGGAGUGGGUUGCAAAAGAAGUAGGUAGCUUAACCUUCGGGAGGGCGCUUACCACUUUGUGAUUCAUGACUGGGGUGAAGUCGUAACAAGGUAACCGUAGGGGAACCUGCGGUUGGAUCACCUCCUUACCUUAAAGAA